GCAGACACAUUCCAGUCAAUCAGCAGCAGACCCUCCCUCCCAGACCCUCCCACCUCCUGGACAGCAUCCAUUUUACAUUCAUUGUGAAGCUGCAUUCUUAGUGAGCUGUCCAGGAGGUGGGAGGGUCUGGGAGGGAGGGUCUGCUGCUGAUUGGCUGGAAUGUGUCUG
Pelobates cultripes (western spadefoot toad) is the source of this 168-nucleotide non-coding RNA. Lineage: Eukaryota; Metazoa; Chordata; Amphibia; Anura; Pelobatidae. The record is from the annotation of a GenBank genome assembly.